GUAUCGCGCACACUUGGAAACGAGAAACCGUUUCGAAUCCCUACCGCGAGGCGGCAGUAUGGGAAUUCUUCUCGGCCAAUAGGCGAAAGCUGAUCAGGAGGCAAACGCCGCCGGUGAGUGAUGAUGAGUCUUCCGAAUACGUUAAAACUCUGUUAAUCAUGGGAGGAAACAACAAUAUGGUAAGUAAACUGUGCACAUCUUGACGGUACUUGAUCAUGAAAGCCACGGCUAACUACGUGCCAGCAGCGGCGGUAAUACGUAGGUGGCAAGCGUAUCUGGAAAUAUUGGGCGUAAAGCGCGCGUAGGCGGUUUUUUAGUCUGAUGUGAAAGCGCACGGCUCAACCGUGGAGGGUCAUUGGAAACUGGAAAACUUGAGUGCAGAAGAGGAAAGUGGAAUUCCAUGUGUAGCGGUGAAAUGCGCAGAGAUAUGGAGGAACACCAGUGGCGAAGGCGACUUUCUGGUCUGUAACUGACGCUGAUGUGCGAAAGCGUGGGGAUCAAACAGGAUUAGAUACCCUGGUAGUCCACGCCGUAAACGAUGAGUGCUAAGUGUUAGGGGGUUUCUGCCCCCUAGUGUUGCAGAUAACGCAUUAAGCACUCUGCCUGGGGAGUACGACCGCAAGGUUGAAACUCAAAGGAAUUGACGGGGACCCGCACAAGCGGUGGAGCAUGUGGUUUAAUUUGAAGCAACGCGAAGAACCUUACCAAAUCUUGACAUCCUUUGACCGCUCUAGAGAUAGAGUCUUCCCCUUCGGGGGACAAAGUGACAGGUGGUGCAUGGUUGUCGUCAGCUCGUGUCUUGAGAUGUUGGGUUAAGUCCCGCAACGAGCGCAACCCCUAAGCUUAGUUGCCAUCAUUAAGUUGGGCACUCUAAGUUGACUGCCGGUGACAAACCGGAGGAAGGUGGGGAUGACGUCAAAUCAUCAUGCCCCUUAUGAUUUGGGGUACACACGUGUUACAAUGGACAAUACAAAGGGCAGCUAAACCGCGAGGUCAAGCAAAUCCCAUAAAGUUGUUUUCAGUUCGGAUUGUAGUGUGCAACUCGACUACAUGAAGCGGGAAUCGCUAGUAAUCGUAGAUCAGCAUGCUACGGUGAAUACGUUCCCGGGUCUUGUACACACCGCCCGUCACACCACGAGAGUUUGUAACACCCGAAGCCGGUGGAGUAACCAUUUAUGGAGCUAGCCGUCGAAGGUGGGACAAAUGAUGGGGGAAGUCGAACAAGAGCCGAACCG
RNAcentral lists this ribosomal RNA (1235 nucleotides) under Staphylococcus sp. RNAcentral's name for it is "bacterial SSU rRNA". It matches the Rfam family "Bacterial small subunit ribosomal RNA", at positions 301 to 1507 of the family's 1533-position model. The record is from RNAcentral. Lineage: Bacteria; Bacillati; Bacillota; Bacilli; Caryophanales; Staphylococcaceae.